RNAcentral lists this ribosomal RNA (508 nucleotides) under uncultured bacterium. Its description in RNAcentral is "partial 16S ribosomal RNA". It matches the Rfam family "Bacterial small subunit ribosomal RNA", at positions 28 to 507 of the family's 1533-position model. The record is from RNAcentral.
GACGAACGCUGGCGGCGUGCUUAACACAUGCAAGUCGAACGGGAUAAUUUGAGAGCUUGCUCUUAGAGGAUCUAGUGGCAAACGGGUGAGUAACACGUAGACAACCUGCCGACAGGAUGGGGACAACAUUCCGAAAGGAAUGCUAAUACCGAAUGAAGCGGAGGCGAGGCAUCUCUCCUCCGUGAAAGAUGGCCUCUGAAUAUGCUAUCACCUGUCGAUGGGUCUGCGUCUGAUUAGCUAGCUGGGGAGGUAACGGCUCACCAAGGCGACGAUGAGUAGGCGGACGGAGAGGAUGAGUGGCCGGCUUGGGAGUGAGACCCGGCACAGAGUGCUAGGGGAGGGAGCCGGGGGGAAUCGUCCGGAAGGGGCGCAAAACUGAGGGAGAAAGGCCGCGUGAGUGAAGAAGGACGUCGGGUCGUGAAGGUCUGUUGACGGGGAGGAACGUGCUAAGGGUGAAUACUCCGUUGUAAUGACGGUACCUGGCGAGGAAGCCACGGCUAACUACGUG